GACGAACGCUGGCGGCGUGCCUAAUACAUGCAAGUUGAGCGCUGAAGGUUGGUACUUGUACCAACUGGAUGAGCAGCGAACGGGUGAGUAACGCGUGGGGAAUCUGCCUUUGAGCAGGGGACAACAUUUGGAAACGAAUGCUAAUACCGCAUAAAAACUUUAAACACAAGUUUUAAGUUUGAAAGAUGCAAUUGCAUCACUCAAAGAUGAUCCCGCGUUGUAUUAGCUAGUUGGUGAGGUAAAGGCUCACCAAGGCGAUGAUACAUAGCCGACCUGAGAGGGUGAUCGGCCACAUUGGGACUGAGACACGGCCCAAACUCCUACGGGAGGCAGCAGUAGGGAAUCUUCGGCAAUGGACGAAAGUCUGACCGAGCAACGCCGCGUGAGUGAAGAAGGGUGUCGGAUCGUAAAACUCUGUUGGUAGAGAAGAACGUUGGUGAGAGUGGAAAGCUCACCAAGUGACGGUAACUACCCAGAAAGGGACGGCUAACUACGUG
Molecule: ribosomal RNA, 497 nt
Filed under: uncultured bacterium
Lineage: Bacteria
Description: partial 16S ribosomal RNA
Rfam family: Bacterial small subunit ribosomal RNA
Source: RNAcentral